GUCGAGAAUAAUUCACAAUGGACGAAAGUCUGAUGGUGCAACGCCGCGUGGAGGAUGACGGUCUUCGGAUUGUAAACUCCUGUCAUCCGGGAGUAAGACCUGGCUGUGAAUAGCAGACAGGGUUGAUAGUACCGGAAGAGGAAGGGACGGCUAACUUCGUGCCAGCAGCCGCGGUAAUACGAAGGUCCCGAGCGUUGUUCGGAAUCACUGGGCGUAAAGGGAGCGUAGGCGGCGUGGUAAGUCAGAUGUGAAAUCCCGGGGCUCAACCCCUGAACUGCAGCCGAUACUGCCGUGCUAGAGGAGUGGAGAGGUAGCUGGAAUUCUCGGUGUAGCAGUGAAAUGCGUGGAUAUCGAGAGGAACACUCGUGGCGAAGGCGAGCUACUGGACAACAUCUGACGCUGAGGCUCGAAGGCCAAGGGAGCAAAAGGGAUUAGAAACCCCAGUAGUCC
This 450-nucleotide ribosomal RNA is filed under the name uncultured bacterium. Its description in RNAcentral is "partial 16S ribosomal RNA". It matches the Rfam family "Bacterial small subunit ribosomal RNA", at positions 354 to 796 of the family's 1533-position model. The record is from RNAcentral.